Molecule: long non-coding RNA, 1260 nt
Filed under: Canis lupus familiaris (dog)
Lineage: Eukaryota; Metazoa; Chordata; Mammalia; Carnivora; Canidae
Description: lncRNA (ENSCAFG00030002634.1)
Source: RNAcentral
AUGAUGAACGGUCCUUGUGCUUGGAGCUGGAAUCCUCUGCCUCUAUGUCCUCCGGCCGCUGGGCCUCGGCCGGCCGCCUGGCGCUUCCCUCCCAGGGGCCAGCCUGCGGGGCAGGGGCGGCGUGGGCCGAGGGGGCUGGGGAGCCCCUGCUCCCUCGUCCUCUUCCUUUGGGAACUCUCAGUGCUCAAAACAAGCUUUCUGAGAACCAUAUUUUUCUGGGUUAAAGGUGAAAAAUGCAGCAUUUCCUCCAAGUGGAAAGCACUGGGCCUGCCAGCUCCGGGCACAUUUCCGAGAUCCUUCCUCCCACUCAGGGAGGAGGCCGCGCUCGCGAGGCGGAGAGGGGCUGAGGUGGGUGGUGCAGCCGGGCGGGGGGGCGGGGGGGGCACCCCGGGGCCUGUCUGGGUUGGCGCGGCCCGGAGGCUGGAACAGCACCGGGGCCGGAAGGGAAAAGCAAACAAGAGGGUAGGGGAGCAGGGCGGCCCUCCAGAGGGCUUCGGGGACAGCGUGGGCGCCACCAAGGCCCCGCGGGCCUUCCGGAAACAAACCCCGCGGCCGGGCUCAGGGGGAACAUGCGGGUGUGUGGAAGUCAGGUCAGUAGCAGAGGCAAGAACACCCCGCCCUCGCCUGCCCCCCCCCAUCCUUGCUCGGGACACUUGGGAGUCAGGAGGAUCGUCUCAGACCCUGACCGUGGGACAGAAGGUCCUCGGGCCCCGGGCUUCACGGUGCUCUCGUGCUCUCCGUGCCCCGGGACAGGCUCGCCUCCAGCGCCCGCGCUCAGCCCUCCCUGAGCCCAAGGCCCGGCGGCGUCGUCAGCGUUCCCGGGGGAGCCACCACGCAGGGCCUACGAGGCCCGUCCUCAGAAUCACAGCGCGGCUGCCAGGUGCCCGGCGGCAGGUGGAGGGGCACGGGGCCCCGUCUCCGGAGUGGGGGCCCCCGGCCGACCCCACCACUUCUCUCGGCCCCGCGGCCCCUCGCCCUUCCUCGAGUGACCUGGUCCCCGUCGCUCCCUGCAGAGGUGCAGGCUCCUGUCCCUUCAGUCUGUGCACUUGCUCCCGGAGGCGGCGGGGGACGCCUGGGGACACUUCCCAGGCCUUGCCCUCACUCGGUCUGUGCUCCUCUCCAGAGAGAAGGCGCCAGCCGGUCCCCUGGCCGGACUCGAGGCCCGCGUGGACGGGCCCAGCCGAGGCCAGAACCGUCGGGUCGAGCCCGGCCGAGCCCAGCGGAGCCGCGAGCCGUCCGCUCAGGGCCCGUGAGCGAUGA